GAAAGAGACCCUUGCGAGGGGAAGCUGUGAACCGGGUCAGGCCUUAACCGGAGCAGCCCUAAGCGGUGUACCUCUGUGCGAGGGUCUCUUUCCGUCC
Molecule: signal recognition particle RNA, 97 nt
Filed under: Planctomycetota bacterium
Lineage: Bacteria; Pseudomonadati; Planctomycetota
Description: Planctomycetes bacterium (freshwater metagenome) signal recognition particle sRNA small type
Rfam family: Bacterial small signal recognition particle RNA
About the family: The signal recognition particle (SRP) is a universally conserved ribonucleoprotein involved in the co-translational targeting of proteins to membranes.
Source: RNAcentral